GACGAACGCUGGCGGCGUGCUUAACACAUGCAAGUCGAACGAUGAAGCCGGAGCUUGCUCCGGUGGAUUAGUGGCGAACGGGUGAGUAACACGUGAGCAAUCUGCCCUUGACUCUGGGAUAACUACGGGAAACUGUAGCUAAUACCGGAUACGACACCUUGGGGCAUCCCAGGGUGUGGAAAGAAUUUCGGUCAAGGAUGAGCUCGCGGCCUAUCAGCUAGUUGGUGAGGUAAUGGCUCACCAAGGCGACGACGGGUAGCCGGCCUGAGAGGGUGACCGGCCACACUGGAACUGAGAGACGGUGCAGACGCCUACGGGAGGCAGCAGUGGGGAAUAUUGCACAAUGGGCGAAAGCCUGGUGCAGCAGCGCCGCGUGAGGGAUGAAGGCCUUCGGGUUGUAAACCUCUUUUAGCAGGGAAGAAGCGAAAGUGACGGUACCUGCAGAAAAAGCACCGGCUAACUACGUGCCAGCAGCCGCCGUAA
Molecule: ribosomal RNA, 483 nt
Filed under: uncultured bacterium
Lineage: Bacteria
Description: partial 16S ribosomal RNA
Rfam family: Bacterial small subunit ribosomal RNA
Source: RNAcentral